This is a long non-coding RNA of Penaeus monodon (black tiger shrimp), 324 nucleotides long. RefSeq lists it as uncharacterized. Lineage: Eukaryota; Metazoa; Arthropoda; Malacostraca; Decapoda; Penaeidae. The record is from RefSeq and is a predicted model, not a curated record. The transcript is spliced from 2 exons.
AAACAAGAGUGGGCUAAGGCGCUCGAUUUUUAAAAAAGACGGAACGGGCCUCUAAAUCGACUCUGAUUAUAUUUAGCCGCGCUCAAUUUUAACAGAAUGCAACGUGACCCAAAUGACCUUGGCGAAAGAUUAAACACGAGCAUAACCCGAGUUGCGACUGGCAAUCAGAAACUAUUGUGAAGAUGACAAGGCAAUAAAUACAGACAAACGUAAUCGUCAUUGGGAAAACUAUUAUACAUUCUUUAUUUUCUAUUGUAUGCUGGGUCAAACAAGCACGGUUAUAUUUCCCAAGGCUAUGUAGAUAUAAAAAGUAAUAACAAGAAA